This 253-nucleotide ribosomal RNA is filed under the name Sporomusa rhizae. Its description in RNAcentral is "partial 16S ribosomal RNA". It matches the Rfam family "Bacterial small subunit ribosomal RNA", at positions 524 to 776 of the family's 1533-position model. The record is from RNAcentral. RNAcentral also lists the same sequence under 2 other names. Lineage: Bacteria; Bacillati; Bacillota; Negativicutes; Selenomonadales; Sporomusaceae.
UACGUAGGUGGCAAGCGUUGUCCGGAAUUAUUGGGCGUAAAGGGCGUGUAGGUGGAUUCUUAAGUCGUGUGUCUAAGUGCGGGGCUCAACCCCGUAUAGGCGCAGGAAACUGGGAAUCUUGAGUGCAGGAGAGGAAAGUGGAAUUCCCAGUGUAGCGGUGAAAUGCGUAGAUAUUGGGAGGAACACCAGUGGCGAAGGCGACUUUCUGGACUGUGUCUGACACUGAGGCGCGAAAGCUAGGGGAGCGAACGGG